ACUGGGCGUAAAGGGUCUGUAGGUGGUUUGUUAAGUCAGAUGUGAAAGCCCAGGGCUCAACCUUGGAACUGCAUUUGAUACUGGCAAACUAGAGUAUGGUAGAGGAAUGGGGAAUUUCUGGUGUAGCGGUGAAAUGCGUAGAGAUCAGAAGGAACACCAAUGGCGAAGGCAACAUUCUGGACCAAUACUGACACUGAGGGACGAAAGCGUGGGGAUCAAACAGGAUUAGAUACCCUGGUAGUCCACGCUGUAAACGAUGAGUACUAGCUGUUGGAUUCGGUGUAAAGGAUCUAGUGGCGUAGCUAACGCGUUAAGUACUCCGCCUGGGGACUACGGCCGCAAGGCUAAAACUCAAAGGAAUUGACGGGGACCCGCACAAGCGGUGGAGCAUGUGGUUUAAUUCGAUGCAACGCGAAGAACCUUACCUGGUCUUGACAUCCUGCGAACUUUCUAGAGAUAGAUUGGUGCCUUCGGGAACGCAGUGACAGGUGCUGCACGGCUGUCGUCAGCUCGUGUUGUGAAAUGUUGGGUUAAGUCCCGCAACGAGCGCAACCCCUAUUGAUAGUUACCAUCAUUAAGUUGGGUACUCUAUUGAGACUGCCGCUGACAAGGCGGAGGAAGGUGGGGACGACGUCAAGUCAUCAUGGCCCUUACGACCAGGGCUACACACGUGCUACAAUGGGUAUUACAGAGGGCAGCGAAGUAGCGAUAUGGAGCGAAACUCAGAAAGGUACUCUUAGUCCGGAUUGCAGUCUGCAACUCGACUGCAUGAAGUCGGAAUCGCUAGUAAUCGCAGGUCAGAAUACUGCGGUGAAUACGUUCCCGGGUCUUGUACACACCGCCCGUCACACCAUGGGAGUGGGUUGCUCCAGAAGUAGAUAGCUUAACGAAUGGGCGUUUACCA
This 904-nucleotide ribosomal RNA is filed under the name uncultured bacterium. RNAcentral's name for it is "bacterial SSU rRNA". It matches the Rfam family "Bacterial small subunit ribosomal RNA", at positions 553 to 1459 of the family's 1533-position model. The record is from RNAcentral.